Molecule: ribosomal RNA, 492 nt
Filed under: uncultured bacterium
Lineage: Bacteria
Description: partial 16S ribosomal RNA
Rfam family: Bacterial small subunit ribosomal RNA
Source: RNAcentral
AUUGAACGCUGGCGGCAUGCUUUACGCAUGCAAGUCGAACGGUAACAGGCCUUCGGGUGCUGACGAGUGGCGAACGGGUGAGUAAUGCAUCGGAACGUGCCCAGAGGUGGGGGAUAACGCAGCGAAAGCUGUGCUAAUACCGCAUGUGAUCUGAGGAUGAAAGCGGGGGACCAAGCAGCAAUGUUUGGCCUCGCGCCUCUGGAGCGGCCGAUGUCAGAUUAGGUAGUUGGUGGGGUAAAGGCCUACCAAGCCGACGAUCUGUAGCUGGUCUGAGAGGACGACCACCCACAGUGGAAGUGAGCCACGGCCAGGACUCAACGGGGAGGGAGGGGGGGGGAUUUGGGAACAAGGGGCGCAGCUCGGACACGGCAAUGGCGGGGGGGGAAAAAGGCCUUGGGUGUUAAAACAGGUUUUUGAAGGAAAGAAAAGGUUCCGGCCAAAUCCCGGGGUAUGAGAAGGAAACAAAAAAAAAGGGACCCGGAAAGUUAGGGC